AUUGAACGCUGGCGGCAUGCUUUACACAUGCAAGUCGAACGGCAGCGCGGGCUUCGGCCUGGCGGCGAGUGGCGAACGGGUGAGUAGUGCAUCGGAACGUGCCCAGUAGUGGGGGAUAGCCCGGCGAAAGCCGGAUUAAUACCGCAUACGACCUGAGGGUGAAAGCGGGGGACCGAAAGGCCUCGCGCUAUUGGAGCGGCCGAUGUCGGAUUAGCUAGUUGGUGGGGUAAAGGCUUAUCAAGGCGACGAUCCGUAGCUGGUCUGAGAGGACGACCAGCCACACUGGGACUGAGACACGGCCCAGACUCCUACGGGAGGCAGCAGUGGGGAAUUUUGGACAAUGGGGGCAACCCUGAUCCAGCCAUGCCGCGUGCGGGAAGAAGGCCUUCGGGUUGUAAACCGCUUUUGUUCGGGAAGAAAUCCUCUGGGCUAAUACCCCGGGGGGAUGACGGUACCGGAAGAAUAAGCACCGGCUAACUACGUG
Molecule: ribosomal RNA, 484 nt
Filed under: uncultured bacterium
Lineage: Bacteria
Description: partial 16S ribosomal RNA
Rfam family: Bacterial small subunit ribosomal RNA
Source: RNAcentral